RNAcentral lists this unclassified non-coding RNA (211 nucleotides) under soil metagenome. RNAcentral's name for it is "partial contains 5.8S ribosomal RNA, internal transcribed spacer 2, and large subunit ribosomal RNA". The record is from RNAcentral.
AACCUUAUGGACCUGCGGGCGUAUACCUGCGGAAGGAUCAUUACCGAGUUUACAACUCCCAAACCCCUGUGAACAUACCUAUACGUUGCCUCGGCGGAUCAGCCCGCGCCCCGUAAAAAGGGACGGCCCGCCCGAGGACCCCUAAACUCUGUUUUUAGUGGAACUUCUGAGUAAAACAAACAAAUAAAUCAAAACUUUUAGCAAUGGAUCU